RNAcentral lists this ribosomal RNA (996 nucleotides) under Triticum aestivum (bread wheat). RNAcentral describes it as "partial small subunit ribosomal RNA". Lineage: Eukaryota; Viridiplantae; Streptophyta; Magnoliopsida; Poales; Poaceae. The record is from RNAcentral.
AUGGCCUCCUUCAAGCUGACGAACCUGUGCUUCAUAGUUGUCAUGUUCUCUGCUGUCUUCUCCUGUUGCAGAGGGCAGGGAGGUGGUGGUGGUGCCGGAGCAGGAGCAGGAGGCGGAGCCGGAGGGGGGUCGGGCAUCGGUGCAGUAGUACCAGGAACGCAGGACUCGGUUCAGAUCGUGGCGCAAGCUGCUCUCUGCUUUGACAACAGACCAGUGCUCACCGGGUGUCUGCAGGCGAUGGGCAUCAACGCCAGCGGCACCGGCGCGAGCAUGCCGCCGCCUGCUCCGGGCGGCGCGGCGACGGCGAUCAUGUGCAGCCCGCCGUGCUUCGGACACGUGACCAUGAUGAUGAGCUGCGUCAACGCCAUCUUCGGCAACUUCGUGACCUACAACCCCGGCCUCAUGCAGGGCGUCCAGGCCGUCUUCCAGAUGUCCUGCGGCAACGUCAACGGCCCAGGAGGAGCCGGAGGUGCUGCUGGUGGAAUGGGAGGCAGGCCGGCUGGUAACGCUGGCGGUGGUGCCGGUGCCGGCGGAAUGGGAGGCGGGCCGGCUGGUAACGCUGGCGGCGGUGCCGGUGCCGGCAGUGCCAGUGGUGGAGUUGGAGGCGGGGCUGCCGGUGGCAUUCCUAACGGCAUCGGCGGGCCCGGUGGCAUUCCUAACAGUAUCGGCGGUGCCGCUGGCGCGGCCGGUGCCAGCGGGGGAGGUGCCGGUGGUACUACUAACAUCAUCGGCGGGGCCGCGGGCGGAGGCGCCGGUGCCGGCGGAGCUAGCGGCGGGGCUGGAGGCGGCAACGGCACUACCAACGGCGGCGCUGCCACCGGUGCCAUUGGCAGCGGCAACAUCACAAGCGUCUCACCCAAUGCAGGCUCGCACGUGGCGGUGAGCAACCAAAGUCAGCCGACCAGCAGCGCGGGCGGGCCCGCUCUCGGCCUCAAGGGCGCCUGCUCCUCCUCCGUGCUGGUGAUCUGGGCCGGCGCAUGGCUGGUGCUGUUCUAG